UGGGGAAUAUUGGACAAUGGGCGAAAGCCUGAUCCAGCCAUGCCGCGUGUGUGAAGAAGGUCUUCGGAUUGUAAAGCACUUUAAGUUGGGAGGAAGGGCAGUAAGCGAAUACCUUGCUGUUUUGACGUUACCGACAGAAUAAGCACCGGCUAACUCUGUGCCAGCAGCCGCAGUAAUACAGAGGGUGCAAGCGUUAAUCGGAAUUACUGGGCGUAAAGCGCGCGUAGGUGGUUCGUUAAGUUGAAUGUGAAAGCCCCGGGCUCAACCUGGGAACUGCAUCCAAAACUGGCGAGCUAGAGUAGGGCAGAGGGUGGUGGAAUUUCCUGUGUAGCGGUGAAAUGCGUAGAUAUAGGAAGGAACACCAGUGGCGAAGGCGACCACCUGGGCUCAUACUGACACUGAGGUGCGAAAGCGUGGGGAGCAAAUAGG
RNAcentral lists this ribosomal RNA (429 nucleotides) under Pseudomonadota bacterium. RNAcentral describes it as "Proteobacteria bacterium partial 16S ribosomal RNA". It matches the Rfam family "Bacterial small subunit ribosomal RNA", at positions 355 to 776 of the family's 1533-position model. Lineage: Bacteria; Pseudomonadati; Pseudomonadota. The record is from RNAcentral.